This is a small nucleolar RNA of Equus asinus (donkey), 65 nucleotides long. NCBI's taxonomy places the organism in Eukaryota, Metazoa, Chordata, Mammalia, Perissodactyla, Equidae. The record is from Ensembl.
UUACUGUGAUGGUUAUAUAGCUCAGAUUGAAUCAUGAAGAGAUAUACCAUUUAUCUAAUGUAAAA